CAGUAGCCACGGUAAUACGUAGGGUGCAAGCGUUGUCCGGAAUUAUUGGGCGUAAAGAGCUCGUAGGCGGUUUGUCGCGUCUGCUGUGAAAACGCGAGGCUCAACCUCGCGCCUGCAGUGGGUACGGGCAGACUAGAGUGUGGUAGGGGAGAUUGGAAUUCCUGGUGUAGCGGUGGAAUGCGCAGAUAUCAGGAGGAACACCGAUGGCGAAGGCAGAUCUCUGGGCCAUUACUGACGCUGAGGAGCGAAAGCGUGGGGAGCAAACAGGAUUAGAUACCCCCGUAGUCCCUGUCUCUUAUAA
RNAcentral lists this ribosomal RNA (301 nucleotides) under uncultured bacterium. Its description in RNAcentral is "partial 16S ribosomal RNA". It matches the Rfam family "Bacterial small subunit ribosomal RNA", at positions 509 to 809 of the family's 1533-position model. The record is from RNAcentral.